This 592-nucleotide ribosomal RNA is filed under the name Yunzhangia sonckii. RNAcentral describes it as "partial 26S ribosomal RNA". It matches the Rfam family "Eukaryotic large subunit ribosomal RNA", at positions 62 to 648 of the family's 3401-position model. Lineage: Eukaryota; Fungi; Basidiomycota; Microbotryomycetes; Chrysozymaceae. The record is from RNAcentral.
AAACUAACCAGGAUUCCCCUAGUAACGGCGAGUGAAGCGGGACGAGCUCAAAUUUGUAAUCUGGCUGCUUCGCAGUCCGAGUUGUAAUCUCGAGAAGCGUUUUCCGUGUUGGACCGCAUACAAGUCUGUUGGAAUACAGCGUGMGAUAAGGUGAYAACCCUGUUCAUGAUGCGGAYGCCCAAUGCUUUGUGAUGCGCUUUCGAAGAGUCGAGUUGUUUGGGAAUGCAGCUCAAAUUGGGUGGUAAAUUCCAUCUAAAGCUAAAUAUUGGCGAGAGACCGAUAGCGAACAAGUACCGUGAGGGAAAGAUGAAAAGCACUUUGGAAAGAGAGUUAACAGUACGUGAAAUUGUUGGAAGGGAAACGCUUCAAGUCAGACUUGCUUGACRGAGUUCAGCCKYCAMGGUGUACUCUCUGUURCGCAGGCCAGCAUCAGUUUUCCGGGCUGGAAAAGCGUCWUGGGAAGGUAGCAGCCUCGGCUGUGUUAUAGCCCKKGAYUGGAUUCAGCCURGGGGACUGAGGCAUGCAGUGUGCUUUUUGCAAAGGAUUCGUCCUUUUCCACACUUUGGAUGCUGGUGGAAUGGCUUGAAACGAC